UUUUAUGGGUGUGGGGUAUGUUUUGGGGGAAAAGGGAUGAAUAGUGGGUUGAGAGCUUUUGGGAUAUUUUAAAGUUUUUUAUUUUUAUUUUUUAAAGUGAGUAUUUAGUACAUUAACAAAGUAUUUUUUUAUUCUACAAGUAGUUUUAAAAAAUUAAUAUGUCAUCUCUUUCUUUUUAAAUAUUUUACUAUACCCUAAUAAGAUAUUUGUCAACCCCUUAAUCCUACAU
Molecule: long non-coding RNA, 229 nt
Filed under: Gossypium raimondii (Peruvian cotton)
Lineage: Eukaryota; Viridiplantae; Streptophyta; Magnoliopsida; Malvales; Malvaceae
Description: long non-coding RNA (GRAI_LNC006345)
Source: RNAcentral